RNAcentral lists this long non-coding RNA (344 nucleotides) under Ananas comosus (pineapple). RNAcentral's name for it is "long non-coding RNA (ACOM_LNC038593)". The record is from RNAcentral. Lineage: Eukaryota; Viridiplantae; Streptophyta; Magnoliopsida; Poales; Bromeliaceae.
UCCGGAGCUCAUCGUUCAAGGAGGAGCGACCUACCUUGAACCAAACGAAUGUGAGUAUGAUCUGAUCCUCCUUUAGAGGAUUCAACAAUAGACGAUGUCACACUUAACUCUAACUAGCUCUUUAUGCUAGUUUCACAAUUCUUUUUCUCGAUGCUAACCAAAUCUCUAAUUAGAAUGUCACCAAGUUUACUAUUAUUAUAGUCCAUGCAUUCAUAGGGUUCUAUGUUCACAUUCUAUUGUUCAUAUAUUCUCAUGGUUGAUAAGUAAUUGCAUAAUUAAAUAUCAUUUACAUAAUAUCAAUACCCUAUAAUACAUGAUUACAAUGUAAAUAUGCUCAAUGAAUU